UGGGGAAUAUUGGGCAAUGGGCGCAAGCCUGACCCAGCCACGCCGCGUGAGUGAUGAAGGCCUUCGGGUCGUAAAGCUCUGUGGGGAAGGACGAAAAACAUUGGCUAAUAUCCAAUGGCUUGACGGUACUUCCUUAGCAAGCACCGGCUAACUCUGUGCCAGCAGCCGCGGUAAUACAGAGGGUGCAAACGUUGCUCGGAAUCAUUGGGCGUAAAGCGCACGUAGGCGGCCUGAUAAGUCGGUAGUGAAAGCCCUCGGCUUAACCGAGGAAGUGCUAUCGAAACUGCCAGGCUUGAGUACCGGAGAGGAUCGCGGAAUUCCCGGUGUAGAGGUGAAAUUCGUAGAUAUCGGGAGGAACACCAGUGGCGAAGGCGGCGAUCUGGACGGAUACUGACGCUGAGGUGCGAAAGCGUGGGGAGCAAACAGGAUUAGAUACCCACGUAGUCCCUGAGCGGGCUGGCAAGGCGCAU
Molecule: ribosomal RNA, 470 nt
Filed under: uncultured bacterium
Lineage: Bacteria
Description: bacterial SSU rRNA
Rfam family: Bacterial small subunit ribosomal RNA
Source: RNAcentral